UCUAUUUUCCACCGUGAAAUCUCAUCUCUCACCUGCAGAAAGCAGCAGUAAAAGGCAUCACUCAGGUGGUCAUCUCCCGGAUCACCAUGGCAGCACCAGGAAUGAUCAUCCUCCCCAUCAUCAUGCAGAGGCUGGAAAAGUACAAGUUCAUGCAGAGAAUCACGUUUCUUCACGGACCAAUUCAAGUCAUGCUGGUGGGAGUCUUUCUGAUCUUCAUGGUGCCRGCGGCCUGCUCCCUGUUCCCUCAGCGAUGGUAAUGAAAAUAUCCCGUCCUCUCACCUGCUGCCACAUUCAAACACCUCAUCUCUCGCAGGUUUUCCGCUGUCCCUUUUGACUUCAUGUCUGAUUGAGUCAAACAAGUUGGAAAUAGGGAGAGGAAAUUAUAAUCUGUGAGCUGWUAAAGAUGCCAAGCAAGUUCAGCGCUGUAGAAAGUCUUGAGCCAAGGCCUCAUGAUUUYACUUUAAUAUUGUCACUUAUUGAUAAUAUUUAGGGUUCUAAUGCAAUCUGGAAAAAAGUCUGAAUGCAGUAUUUUCUAAAUCUGGACUAGUUUAUUAUUUGAAUAGAAUAGAAUAAAAAUAUUUCUUUAUUAAUGCCAGAGUGGGGAAAUUUACUUGUUAUAGCAGCACAAAAACAAAAUAUACAGAAUAUAAAAAUAUCUAAAAAUAAUAUAAACAACUGUUUGCUAAUAUCUUGUAUUCCUUUCUUCCAUGCAUGCUUGCACCUCCAUAUUCUUUCUCUUACUCUUUUGCUUUCUUUCACUGUUUCAGUAUUUUGCUCUCUUUCUUUCUCUCGUUUGCUCUUUCACWCUCUGGUUUCUUUCCAUCCUUGUGACCUUCGCAAUAAUUUCAUUAAAAUAACUCUUCCACCCAACACUUCUUCGAUUAAUAUAUGCAAACCUGWAACUUUGAUUUAUUUUAAUGCUCUCUGCAGUAUUUUGUGAAGCUCUGAAAUGGAUCUCUCCACCACUCAAACUGCAUUGAAUCUUCAAGUCUUCUGACCAGCAAAGAAACUCCCAAAUUAAAAAGUCUGCUAAAUGUUAUUGAGCAGUCCAGAUGUUUUUCUCGCUGCAUUCAUGUUGAUUUACUUGGAUGACUAAACAGUCGUAAAACUGCUCCUGCUGUCUGGCUAGCAGAUGGUUUUUAUGACCUGCAAACAAAUCUAUAAAUCCCUGUUAUCUGACUUCAGAUGCUGAAAUAAAAUGUCUGUGAGGAAAUAAUAACGGGGAGCUGAGCUGUGAGCAGAGAAGCGAGCGUCAAAUAGUUAAACACAGUGAGCUGAAAUCUUUUGGAUUGUCUUACGGGACACAUGCUUACAAAAGAUUCUAUAAUUCAGCUGUAAUAAAACUUUGACAGCUGAUAAAAGUUUAAUUCCUUCUCUGAAGACACCCAGUGACCCUUAAAUUUUUUACAACAGUUUGCUUMUUUUAAAUGUGUGGGAGAAACCAAAUUGAACAAGUAAUUUAGGAGCUACAAUCAGACUCACUAUCGCUCUUCAAACAUUAAUCAAAGUGUAAAUAUAGGCCAGAACCAAACUAAGAAGUGUAUUUAUUAGGAAUAAUUAAUUUAGGAAUUGUUUUUCAUGCAGCUUCACUUUAUAUCUUGGAUAUUUAAGAUAAAUUAGAAUCUGGUUUUGAAUCCAGUAAGGAAGAAAAGUCACUCAUUA
Poecilia reticulata (guppy) is the source of this 1662-nucleotide non-coding RNA. The record is from RefSeq and is a predicted model, not a curated record. Lineage: Eukaryota; Metazoa; Chordata; Actinopteri; Cyprinodontiformes; Poeciliidae.